This 528-nucleotide ribosomal RNA is filed under the name Bombus vosnesenskii. RNAcentral describes it as "partial 16S ribosomal RNA". The stretch from base 376 to 528 matches the Rfam family "Bacterial large subunit ribosomal RNA", at positions 2473 to 2626 of the family's 2925-position model. Lineage: Eukaryota; Metazoa; Arthropoda; Insecta; Hymenoptera; Apidae. The record is from RNAcentral.
GGCUUAUUGACUAUAAUUUUAAGUCUAUCUGCCCAAUGAUUAAAUUAUUUAAUGGCUGCAGUAUAAUUGACUGUACAAAGGUAGCAUAAUCAAUUGUUUUUUAAUUAAAAACUGGAAUGAAAGAAUAAAUGAGAUAUAUACUGUCUCAUAUAUAUUUUAUUAAUUUAAAUUUUUAGUAAAAAUGCUGAAAUUUAUUUAUGGGACGAUAAGACCCUAUAGAAUUUUAUAUUUAUAUUUAGAUUAUGAGUUUUUAUAAAUAUAAAUAUUUAAUUGGGAGGAUUAGUAAAUUUAUAAAACUUUAUUUUGAAUAUAAACUUUAAUUAAAGAAUAGUUAUUGAUCUUGUAUUAUAAAUUAAAAGAAUAAAUUACCUUAGGGAUAACAGCGUUAUAUCUUUUUAAAGAUCAUAUUAAUAAAGAUGUUUGCGACCUCGAUGUUGAAUUAAGAUAAAUUUUAAAUGUAGAAGUUUAAUAAUUAAGUCUGUUCGACUUUUAAAAUCUUACAUGAUUUGAGUUCAAAUCGACGUGAGU